GACGAACGCUGGCGGCGUGCUUAACACAUGCAAGUCGAACGGAAAGGCCCUGCUUUUGUGGGGUGCUCGAGUGGCGAACGGGUGAGUAACACGUGAGUAACCUGCCCUUGACUUUGGGAUAACUUCAGGAAACUGGGGCUAAUACCGGAUAGGAGCUCCUGCUGCAUGGUGGGGGUUGGAAAGUUUCGGCGGUUGUGGAUGGACUCGCGGCUUAUCAGCUUGUUGGUGGGGUAGUGGCUUACCAAGGCUUUGACGGGUAGGCGGCCUGAGAGGGUGACCGGCCACAUGGGGACUGAGAUACGGCCCAGACUCCUACGGGAGGCAGCAGGGGGGAACAUUGCACAAUGGGCGGAAGCCUGAUGCAGCAACCCCGCGUGCGGGAUGACGGCCUUCGGGUUGUAAACCGCUUUCGCCUGUGACGAAGCGUGAGUGACGGUAAUGGGUAAAGAAGCACCGGCUAACUACGUG
This 468-nucleotide ribosomal RNA is filed under the name uncultured bacterium. Its description in RNAcentral is "partial 16S ribosomal RNA". It matches the Rfam family "Bacterial small subunit ribosomal RNA", at positions 28 to 507 of the family's 1533-position model. The record is from RNAcentral.